This 5546-nucleotide long non-coding RNA is filed under the name Homo sapiens (human). Its description in RNAcentral is "HSALNT0340605". Lineage: Eukaryota; Metazoa; Chordata; Mammalia; Primates; Hominidae. The record is from RNAcentral.
AUUCAUACAGAGAAGCGAUCACAUUAAGAUCCAGCACUUGUUUCUACAUUUCCAAGCCGGAUUCUGCCGUCCUCCUCCUUCUAAGACGGGCGGUGCAGCGUCACAAGCGUCGGGACAGAUCUAUCCGGCUCGGAACAGACUUCGCGCUCUACCCGGCCAGGCCCAGCUCUCACCCGGGGACCCGUGUCGGGCUCCGCAGCUGGGACAUGGCGCCCCCCGGCGGGCGGCGAGGGGCUCGGCCGGACGAAGCCCAGACACCCGCAAACUCCCGACUCCACAGGUAGCGGCGCCGACGCCAGGGCCUCCGCGCUCUGCUCUCCCAGGCCCCGUGCCCCCGGCCCACCCGGCCGCCCUUACCAUGUUCUCGGCGCCGACUCCGCCUCCGCUCGGCCGCGCGCCCUCCCGCUGCCGACCCGCGCCGCCGCCGCCGCUCUCGCAGCACCGACCGCCGCCGCCGGAGCCGGACAAUACCCCGUGCCCGCCUCGCGCUGCUGUGGCCAAUGCCCGCUUGUCUUGCUGGUUCGAACCCCAGCGGCUGUUCAAUCGCGCGCCUCCUUCUAGCCAGACCCCGCCCCCCCGGCACCGCCUUCCUAACGGCUGUUUGUUUUUGCACACGGCACGCGGAGGCGGGGCCUCCAGCCCCAAUAGUGACGCGCUCUCUGCCUUUCACCAGGCGCCCAAGCCUGACGAACAGAAAGGCAAACCAAUGAGAUUGGACGCCUCGCAGACGAAAGCCAAUAAAAAUAUCGCCCGCGAGCAAGGGAGGCGGGCCACUGGGAAGGACAGCAAAAUUAGCUAAUAAGGUGAAGCGAUUGCAGGCGCUGUGGCUUUCCCGCCCAUUCGCGGCGUUGGUUUUCCCGCUUCUGAGACUUGUUUGGGGAGGUAAAGAGUGUUGGACGUGCUUCUCCUGGUGGGUUUUCACAGACUGUGAGGAUUUAUUCGUCUUAGAACGUGUGGAUCAGGAGGGCGCUGGGUUUCAAGGUUAGGCAGGCCUCAUGCUCAGCCGUAUUCUGGCGGACUGACUACCCUGACGUCCUCUCAGCGCGGACCCUGACAAGGUCCGCGGCAGGCUGAGGCGGGAGAAUCGCUUGAACCCCGGAGGCGGAGGUUGCAGUGAGCCGAGAUCGCGCCACUGCACUCCAGCUGGGCGACGCAUCGUCUCAAAACAAACAAACAAAAACAAAAGCUAUCAAUUGGCUACAUAUUGUUAUUUGUAUGACAAAUUCUUUUUCCUUUUUUAGAGAUGGAGUCCUGGGACUACAGGCGCGCGCCCCAAUGCCCAGCUAACUUUUGUAUUUUUAAUAGAGACGGGGUUUCUCCGUGUUGGUCAGGCUGGUCUCGAACUCCUGACCUCAGGUGAUCUGCCCCCCUUUGCCUCCCAAAGUACUGGGAUUACAGGCGUGAGCCACCGCGCCCGGCAUGUAUUACAAAUUCUAAGAACACGAAGAUAAUGGGGCCGGCUUGGUGGCGCGAACCUGUAGCCUCACCUACUGUCAAGACUGAGACAGGAGGAUCUCUUGAGCCCAGGAGGUCGAGGCUGCAGUGAGUCAUGAUCGCACCACUGCACUCCAGCUUGGGAGACAGAAUAUACCCUGUCUAAAAAAUAAUAAUAAAAAAAAAGGUAAUGGAUGAGGCCGAUAGUCAGGAAUGAAAUGACUUUAAACAAUUGGGUAUGCAUGGGAUUGGGUAUGUGUGUAUGUGGGGGCAGAGGGUGGGCAUAACCGAAGUCCCAUACUCAUGUCCCUCUAGGCCUAAUACAUUUUGCAGACCUCACAGAGCUCAGACUGUUGUGAGCCGUUUUUCUUUUCUCAACCUCUUCAGUGUGUUUAUUUUGCUUACAUCAUUAGGUUAAAAUUUGGAGGAUAACUCCCAGCUAGAAAGGAAGAAAAGCUCUAAAGUGGAAUCGCCUUCCCCCGGAAGCUGUUGUAAAAAUUAAAGGAUGUAUGUGAGUGCACAGGCUCUCCAGCGAUCGUUUUUCUUCCACAGUGUUAACACAAUUUAUUUAUUUAUUUACUUUUUGAGAUGAAGUCUCACUCUGUUGCCCAGGCUGGAUGGAGUGCAGUGGUGUGAUCUGGGCUCACUGCAACCUCCGCCUCCUGAGUUCAAGCGAUUCUCCUGCCUCAGCCUCCUGGGUAGCUGGGACUAAAGGCUCCCACCACCAUUCCCCGCUAGUUUUUGUAUUUUUAGUAGAAAUAGGGUUUCACCAUGUUGGCCAGGCUGGUCUUGAACUCCUGACCUCAAGUGAUCCUCUCGCCUCAGCCUCCUAAAGUGCUGGGAUUACAGGCGUGAGCCACCGCGCCUGGCCUGUUUCCACAAUUAAAAAAGGCCCAUCACCCUAUCAUGAUCAUCUCUAUUACAGUCUGGACAAUAUGAGCUUUCUGGGAGAGCCAGCUUCAUUUCAUAACUGAAGAAAUGGGCUUAGGUGAACUUAGUCAUUUGCCUGAGACCGCAUAGCCUGUAGAUAACCAAGAUACCAGCUCACAUUUGUUCCAACUCAUUCCAGCUUUAAAUUCUUUCAUUCUUUUCACAGUAUGAUGCAUUGACUGUGCUAGAAUGUGUUCUUGGUGUUGGUGAGUUAAUAGUGAAAAAAACAAGUUUCUGCCUUAGUGGAGAUUCUGUUGUCAUAGGAUUUUCCCAGGCUGGCACUUUAGAAAUUUAUAUCCAGGCUGAUGAUAGCUGUUCCAAAGUUUGAAUCAGGAGAAGCAACUUUGGGGAAGUGAGUCUUUAAAAAAAGGUAACUUAAAUUCAAGAAGAGGAAGAGGGUGAGCUUCUAAGUAAGAAUUUGGAAAAAUACGGAUGAAGGUACAGACAAGUGUGAGGAAGGGUGUCCAGUGAAAUAGGAAGGAAUGGAGCAAUGUGCCCAGAUUAAUAGAAGCCUCAAAACUAGGUAGAAGAGUGGAGUUACUUCAGUAAAAAUAGCCAUUGUUAAUUCCUGCUCCUCUGUGUUUCUGGCCUCAGUGGAUGGCAUUACCAAUCUACCAAGGCAUAAGCCUGUGAGUUAUUCCUUUAACAAAUCACUCAGUGCCUACUGUUUGCAGGCACUGUGCUAGGUACUGAGGAUUUGGUGAUUAGCAAAAUAGACAUUGUCCUUGCCCUUGUGGUCCUCUGCAGCGGGAGUCAGAUGUUAAAGAAAUAAACAAAUACCAUAUGUGAAUUAUAAUAAGUUCAAGUGUGCUGAAGGAAAAGAACAGGGUGCUUUAAGAGAGAAACAGGGAAUGUAGUUUAGCUGGUGUGGGUGGUCCACAAAGAGCAUGCAGGCUGGGCGUGGUGGCUCACUCCUGUAAUCCCAGCAAUUUGGGAGGCCAAGGUGGGUGGAUCAUCUGAGGUCAGGAGUUCGAGACCAGCCUGGCCAACAUGGCAAAACCCUGUCUCUACUAAAAAUGCAAAAAUUAGCCAGGCGUGGUGGCGCAUGCCUGUUAUUCCCAGCUACUCAGGAGGCUGACGCAGGAAAAUCACCUGGGCCCAGGAGAGCCUGGGAAGCGGAGGCUGCAGUGAGCUAAGAUUGCGCCACUGCACUUCAGCCUGGGCGACAGAGCAAGACUCCACUCCAUCUCAAAAAAAAAAAAAAAAAGAAGAGUUGCCCUUGUGAAGGGGGGCUGAAAGAAGUGUCCAAUAAUGUAUGAGAAAGCACCUAGCACUGUACCUAGCACAUAAUAUCCAAUAAAUGUUAACUUCCUUCCUUAACAGGAAAAUCAUUUUCUCACCACUCUCUACCCCUCAGCCUUCAUGUCAUUGAUUCAGAUUUUGAUGAAAGUGGAGUUAGGUUGAAAAAGACUGGUUCUCAUUGUAGAUAAUAGUAAUCCUUUCACUGAUUUAUAUAUCAUCACUAAAUUAUAUCAUCACUGUAAACACAGAUGCCAGAAAAAAGUCUGCCUACUAACAGUUUUAUAAACCAAGUGUGUUAGUAAAAUUUAGUUUCUAGUGAACUAGGGUAACAAAAAAGGCAAAGAUGAGCUCAUGAAGAACACCAGUCUAACCAGAAAAUGUUAUGUAUUAGCAUCUAUAAAUGAUAAACUACAAACAUUGACAAAUUAUUCAACUUUGGGCUGGGGAUGGUAGCUCAUGCCUGUAAUCCUAAAGCUUUGGGAGGCCAAGGCAUGAGUCACCAGGGCAGGAGUUUGAGACCAGCCUGGGCAACAUGGCAAGACUCCACUUCUACAAAAAUUAAAAGAAAAAAAUUAGCUGAGUGUGUGGCACAUGCCUGUGAUCCCAGCUAGUUGAGAGGCUGAGGUGGGUAGAGAACUUGAGCCCACGAGUUCAAGGCUGCAGUGAGCUAUGUAUGAUUGUGUCACUGCUCACCAGACAGGCAACAGAACCAGACUGUAUCUCUAAAAAAAAAAUUAUUCAAUGUUGCUGGAUUUAACCCAGUAAUAUAUAGUAUAAUUGUUCUCAAAGUGUGAUCCUUAGACCACCAGCAUCAGCAUCACUUGGAACUUGUUAGAAAUGUAUUCUCACCACCACCCCAGACCUGCUGAAUCUGACACUGAGGGUGGGACCUACAAGCGCUCCAGGGGAUUCUGGUGCAUACUGAAAUUUAAGAACCACUGGUAUAGUAUAUGCUGCAGUGCACAGUCCAGAGCCCACGUAUUCCUUAUAAAACUGGAGCACUUGGCCAGGUGUGGUAGCUCAUCCCUGUAAUCUCAGAACUUUGGGAGGCUGAGGUGGGCAGAUCACCUGAGGUCAGGAGUUCCAGACCAGCUUGGCCAACAUGGUGAAACCCCAUCUCUACUAAAACAAAAAUUAGCUGGGUGUAGUGGCAUGCGCUUGUAGUCCCAGCUACUCUGGGAGGCUGAGGCAGGAGAAUCACUUGAACCCAGGAGGUGGAAGUUGCAAUGAGCCGAGAUGACGCCACUGCACUCCAGCCUGGGCAACAGAGCAAGACUCUGUCUCAAAAAAACAAAAACAAAAAAACUGGAGCACUUAUUUAGCUCCUGGAAGUGUUGACUGAUCAUUACUCAGGGAUCUCUACCCAGGAAUUGGACUUGGCCAAAGGAAGCUGUAUCGCCCAAGUUUACACUCCUUUUUAGGGGGCCUACCUCCAGUGACUGGUGGAUGUAGGAUAUAGUGCCUAGCUCUUUUGCCUUAAUUUGAGACAAUUCUGAAGGGCCAUUCCAGCUCCAGAGUUUCUUGUGUGAUUAGUUUUGACUUGAUCUAACUGCAUUGAAGUUCAACUUCUGCGUAAUCCUACUUCCUCUAUUUUCUCCUAGUAAUGUCCCCAAGAGCAUUCCAUACUAUUACCUCUUGAAAGCAAAUCCCAUUUGUUUCCUGGGAAACCUGAACUAAGACAAUGACUUUUCUCUGCAAAAAUGUAGUCAAUUUUUGAGUAGGCAAGAUAUUCACACGUACAAAAUUUCAAAAUGUACAAAGGGUAUACAGUGAAAAGACUCCCCUGGUGCAGUGGCUCAUGCCUGUAAUCUCAGCACUUUAGAGGUUAAGGCAGGAGGAUCGCUUGAGCCCAGGAGUUCGAGACCAGUGUGGGUGACAUAGUGAGACCCACAUCUCUGUGAAAAAUAAAAAAAAUAAGCCGGGCGCGGUGGCUCACGCCU